UACGGGGGGGGCAAGCGUUGUUCGGAAUUACUGGGCGUAAAGGGCUCGUAGGUGGCCAACUAAGUCAGACGUGAAAUCCCCAGGCUUAACCUGGGAACUGCGUCUGAUACUGGAUGGCUUGAAUUCGGGAGAGGGAUGCAGAAUUCCAGGUGUAGCGGUGGAAUGCGCAGAUAUCAGGAGGAACACCGAUGGCGAAGGCAGUUCUCUGGGCCGUAACUGACGCUGAGGAGCGAAAGCGUGGGGAGCGAACAGG
This 253-nucleotide ribosomal RNA is filed under the name uncultured bacterium. RNAcentral's name for it is "partial 16S ribosomal RNA". It matches the Rfam family "Bacterial small subunit ribosomal RNA", at positions 524 to 776 of the family's 1533-position model. The record is from RNAcentral.